CACAGACCUCCAUAAUGCUUUUAACAUGAUAUUCCCCAGCCCAACAUCCCACAAAAUAUGACAUAAUCGCUAAGAAUGUAAAUGUAUGACUGUAUGAGCAGUAGGCCAGUAACAAUAAAUGCGUGUCAAAAAGGUUGGUAUGAGAAAAUGAAGGAAACCAGAAUACCGUAAGGAAGUUGCCGGUGUUCUGCCCAUCAGCCCGGUGAUAGUUGUUGGUUUGGCUGGUGACCCCUGCAGCAACCUGCUUAGUCACAUCAGGCUUGGGAGGAGCUGGUUUCCCAGCAGGAGGAGCACAUGCGGCUGGUGCAGCUGGUGCCACUGCUGGCUUUGGGGCCUCAUCAUUUCCAAAGAGGUAGCCCAGUUGACUUGAACCACCACCGGCACUACCACCACGACUCAUCUUGAUUGUUGAAAGGAGAAACU
This 423-nucleotide long non-coding RNA is filed under the name Setaria viridis. Its description in RNAcentral is "long non-coding RNA (SVIR_LNC011192)". The record is from RNAcentral. Lineage: Eukaryota; Viridiplantae; Streptophyta; Magnoliopsida; Poales; Poaceae.